CUCUCUCUGUCAAAAAAGAAUAAAGACAUUUAAAAAAAAUUUUAAAGUGUCUGUGAGAUACACAGUCAUCCAGUGAGUCACUUUUUCUUAAUUCUCUUUAAUGGGUCACUCACAGUUUGUGACAAGAACGUUACUAAUUGCAUACCCAGUGCCAGUGGCAGUGUGGAGUCAUCGAGGAAAUCACUGUUAGCUACAACCCGUAUAAAAACGGAUUAUUCUCUAGAGAGGCCACAUGCCAUCCUGAGAGAAUGCGGGGCUGGUGCCUCAAAGUUCUUAGGCAGAUGAGGUACACAGCCUGGGGCCCACUAUGUUAACUGCAGCCUUCUCAGCUGUGAAAAAUGAGAACAGCAAUCCUUCCUGCUCUAGAAGAGAGUUGUGCUUAUUAAUUAGUUUGUAUUUCAAAGUGCUUCCCAACUGGCAAGUUUCACUAUCGAAUUAAGGAAAACUUCCUUUCAUUUUAUCCCCCGCCACAUUAGGAUGAAAAGAAACUGUGCUCACUGAGGCUGUGAGAAAAUUGGAGGGGAUUCAGGCAAAAAAGCUAACAAACCUGACUUCCAAAGGUAGUGGCUCAUUUCCCCAACUGCAAGAUGGCACCCAUUAACGGAGCUUGGUAAAUUAGGUAUCUCAAAGGGCAACCGAAUCUGCUUUCUGAAGAAUUACAUUCGUUUUAGAUUUAAUUUUUAUGAUCCCUUCAAGAAAAAAAAAAAGAAAAUGAGCCAAAUCACACUGUGAUGGUGGAUUUGAAAAUGGAAACUUCCCCUUCUUCCGUACGAAGUGGUAUAAACACUACCGUGUUUUCUUGACACUUGCUUGUAUCCCAACUUUUAGAUCUUCAGAUCACUUUGUCUUUCUAGUUUCUAUGCUAGUUUAUACUAGAAAUUAUGCCCACCAGACUUCUCUUACUAAGGGUUCUAUUGUCAUCUGAAGACUAACUGUUCAAAAAAAGAGAGUUCGCUCCUACUCUCCUUGUGGGUAACUGUCCACUCACCUUUUUGUUUCCUUCCAUCCUGUGGAAAUGCAGCUGCCCAGCUGGGACUGUGCUUCCCAGUCUCCUUUGCAUCUCGCUGGGGUCAUGCAACAAGUUUUCACCAGUGGAAAAUGAGGAGAAGGAGGGCUUCUAAGAAGUGAGUAUGCCUCUUCACUGUCUCGGAAGGCUGAAAAUGAUUCUGAGACGUAGAUAGAAACCUGAAUCCUUUAACCCACAGAUAAGGAACAUCUGCUUUGGAUUAUUAUCUGACUUUCCAGCUCAACAUGCCCAUCCCUCCCCCACCCUCCAUUAAGUUGUAAAGCAGGGAAAUAUUUUUCUUUUCUUCAUGGCCUUCCAAAGAAUGGACACAGAACCACGAGAGAAAUCGCUGGCCAGAGGAAAGCAAUCCCUUAGAGAAAGCAAUCCAACUAUCAUCACCCUAGAGAGCUGGGCCACCGCCAACAUCUCCAUCAGCAAGUUGGAAGAGUUGUCUGACUUCCCAACACAAUAAAAAUGGAGACAUGAGCAUCCAGAGCCCCAGCCAGCACAAUUACAUGAAGCCAAAGAACAUUAUCACUUCUGGGUUGCAGGAUUUAUGACCAACUGUGAUGGAAAAUAAAGACAGGGAUACUUGCCUGAAUUCAUCAUUCACAAAAGGCAAUACGUUUUAAUCACAGAGAAGUUGUAUAUAUUGUACUUUUUAAAUGAAAACCCUAGCAAACAGAGCAGAAACAGAUGUCAGCAUCCUAGAGAAAAAAGAAACAUGAAAAAGAUUGCCAGUUUGCUCCUGUUGAGAAGAUACGCAAGUGAUAUCCUUUAUUGUUGAAAAACUUUUAAAUGCACCGAGGCAAGCAUUUCUAUCGUGGUGGUUUCCUGGAUUUGGGAAACUGCUUCUAAGGAGUAGGCUUGUAUUCGGCAUAGUGUCUGCUGAUCUAGGAAUCAAGUAGUGAGGAUAAUAUGCCACUUCGAGGAAGCCUGUGAUUUCCAUGUGCCAUGAAUAUUACUUUCUUGCCAGUGCAUCUGCCCUGAACUCCCCUGGAACCAUGCUCUUUGCCCAGCAGAGCACUCUUAGGUAUUAUUACUGUUCUCAAUGGUUGUCUCCACUCUAAGACAUAUACCCACCCUAUGAGUGAAGGCUCAUGGUGUUCCUGGCCCAGGGCUGGCACGUGAUGAAUACUUAGAAAAUAUCGAAGAGCUCUGAUUAAGUUGUGAUUUUAUGUAAUUAAAAUUCUUCACACAGAUGAUCUGUUUUCACUGUUGGCAAUGAAAAGGUAAACCAGUAUGGUUUUAAAGUUCAGCUGUUUAUCAGAACCAAAAUUAGCCUCAGAACCACUGAAAGUUUAAAAAGACUGCUUGAGGAAGGAAGGAAGGGUCUACAUAAUCCUUCAAACACAAGAUUCAUUCUAUCAAUGCUUGGAAUAGCUCCUCGAACCCUAAAAGUGAGUUUGUUUCCAGAACACCUGAAACAGAGACCACAUUUUUAUGAUGUUUGCCUUCCACAGUCAAGUUUACAUUAGGGAGCUGUAUUUUCCUUAUAUUUAUUUUGAAAUCAUUUGAGUUUUCCAAUGAAAUAACAUUCUCAUUUUCUUCCCUCUUCCCA
Neofelis nebulosa (Clouded leopard) is the source of this 2567-nucleotide long non-coding RNA. RefSeq lists it as uncharacterized. The transcript has 2 exons. The record is from RefSeq and is a predicted model, not a curated record. NCBI's taxonomy places the organism in Eukaryota, Metazoa, Chordata, Mammalia, Carnivora, Felidae.